RNAcentral lists this ribosomal RNA (253 nucleotides) under uncultured bacterium. RNAcentral describes it as "partial 16S ribosomal RNA". It matches the Rfam family "Bacterial small subunit ribosomal RNA", at positions 524 to 776 of the family's 1533-position model. The record is from RNAcentral.
UACGUAGGUGGCAAGCGUUAUCCGGAAUUAUUGGGCGUAAAGAGCGCGCAGGUGGUUAAUUAAGUCUGAUGUGAAAGCCCACGGCUUAACCGUGGAGGGUCAUUGGAAACUGGUUGACUUGAGUGCAGAAGAGGGAAGUGGAAUUCCAUGUGUAGCGGUGAAAUGCGUAGAGAUAUGGAAGAACACCAGUGGCGAAAGCGGCUCUCUGGUCUGUAACUGACGCUGAGGUUCGAAAGCGUGGGUAGCAAACAGG